This 161-nucleotide ribosomal RNA is filed under the name Lebbeus kuboi. RNAcentral's name for it is "partial 16S rRNA". Lineage: Eukaryota; Metazoa; Arthropoda; Malacostraca; Decapoda; Hippolytidae. The record is from RNAcentral.
ACUUUACAAUUUAUUUCUGCUCCAUGAAUUUUUGUUUAAAUUGAGUGAGGGGUGCUAUUGUUAGGUUGGGGCGACUAUUAUAUAAUUUUUAUUAACUGUAAUUAAAAGAAAUAAGUUUAUUUAGGUAUUUGAUCCUUUAAUAAAGAUUAAAAGAUUAAGUU